This 16-nucleotide small RNA is filed under the name Arabidopsis thaliana (thale cress). RNAcentral's name for it is "ATSL112250". Lineage: Eukaryota; Viridiplantae; Streptophyta; Magnoliopsida; Brassicales; Brassicaceae. The record is from RNAcentral.
AUAUGAUGUAAAAACU